Molecule: ribosomal RNA, 1203 nt
Filed under: Triticum aestivum (bread wheat)
Lineage: Eukaryota; Viridiplantae; Streptophyta; Magnoliopsida; Poales; Poaceae
Description: partial small subunit ribosomal RNA
Source: RNAcentral
AUGUCCCUGUUUGAGGAGUUCUUUGUUGGGUCCAUCGACCUCAAUAGGCUGAACUUUGUGAUAAUCACCCUCAUCCCCAAAGUGACCGGGGCUUCGGAUAUCCGCCAAUUUUGGCCGAUUACCGUGAUUAAUGUCAUCCUCCGCAUCCUCGCGAAGGGGUACGCCAUUAGGGUGGCCCCCAUUGCCGACCGGAUCACUCACCCUGAUCAGUCGGCAUUUAUCCAGGGCCGAUAUAUCCUUGACGGAGUCCUGGUUUUUCACGAAGCACUCCAUGAGGUUCACACCAAACACCUCAAGGCAGUCUUCCUGAAACUGGAUUUCCACAAGGCAUAUGACACGGUCAGUUGGCCCUUCCUUCGGGAAUGCUUGCUCGCGGGCCACAUUAAGGGCAUAGUCCCGCAUCUUGCUGAGGGGAACGGGAUCUCCCUUCUCCAAUAUGCGGAUGACACCAUUAUCAUGGUGGAAGGCUCGGCGAGCGACAUCAUGAACUUGAAGUUCCUCCUGCUUUGCUUCCAGCAGAUGUCUGGCCUCAGGAUCAACUUCGACAAGAGUGCGGUGAUGGUCUUGGGAUACUCCCAAGACGAACUGCACAACAUCGCGGAUCGGCUUAAUUGCCAGCUUGGGUGUUUCCCCACGACUUAUCUGGGGAUCCCCAUUAGUGAUCCGAGGCUCACGGUGGCAGAGCUGCGACCCACGGUGGAGAAGCUACAACACCACAUCGAGCCCUGGCAGGGCCGGUGGCUCUCGAAGGUGGCCCGGACGAUGCUCAUUAACUCGUCCCUCGCCAGCCUGCUCUUAUUCAUCAUGAGCUUCUACAGCCUUUCUGAGACUCUACAUCAUGAGAUUGCCACAGUUCAGGGGCGCUUCUUCUGGGCCGGCGAGGGCGAUAAGCAGAAAUACCACAUGGUUCGGUGGUCGGAGAUCUGUAUACCGCGCGACCAGGGUGGUCUCGGGAUCAUGUCCUCCAAACGCAUGAACAUAGCCCUCCUGACGCGGUGGCUAUGGCGGAUUGCCAACGGAGAGGGUGGCUUGUGGCUUCGCCUCAUUCAGCAGAAAUACCUCCGUGGCCAGCCUCUCGCCUUCUGCCAGCAGUCUGGGGGGCUCCCAGUUCUGGCAAUCCAUCAUUCAGCUCCUUCCUGUCCUCCGCAUCGGAACCUCGAUCGCGGUUGGAUCUGGCACCGCCACGAGGUUCUGGUUCGGUAG